GUCGAGAGGCUUCGGCAAUGGGGGAAACCCUGACCGAGCGACGCCGCGUGGGGGAUGACGGCCCUUGGGUUGUAAACCCCUUUCGACCGGGAAGAAUGAUCGCGUGACAAAUACUCACGCGAUUUGACGGUACCGGUAUAAGAAGCUCCGGCUAACUCCGUGCCAGCAGCCGCGGUAAUACGGGGGGAGCGAACGUUGUUCGGAAUCACUGGGCGUAAAGGGCGUGUAGGCGGUUCGGUAAGUGGAAUGUGAAAGCCCCCGGCUUACCCGGGGAACUGCAUCCCAUACUGCUGGACUUGAGUGCGGGAGAGGAUGGAGGAAUUCCUGGUGUAGCGGUGAAAUGCGUAGAUAUCAGGAGGAACACCUGUGGCGAAGGCGUCCAUCUGGCCCGUUACUGACGCUGAGGCGCGAAAGCUAGGGGAGCAAACGGGAUUAGAAACCCCGGUAGUCC
Molecule: ribosomal RNA, 451 nt
Filed under: uncultured bacterium
Lineage: Bacteria
Description: bacterial SSU rRNA
Rfam family: Bacterial small subunit ribosomal RNA
Source: RNAcentral